GAUUUCUGCCCAGUGCUUUGAACGUGAAUAUGAAGUAAUUUGUAGAAGCUCAGGUAAACGCGGGAGUAACUAUGACUCUCUUAAGGUAGCCAAAAUGCCUCGUCAUCUAAUUAGUGACGCGCAUGAAUGGAUCAAUGAGAUUCCCACUGUCCCCUAUUUACUAUUUAGCGAACCCACAGUCAAGGGAACGGGCUUGAAAUAAUCAGCGGGGAAAGAAGACCCCUGUUGAGCUUGACUCUAGUCCGACUUUGUGAAAUGACUAACGAAGUUUAGCCUUAGGUGGGAGCCAACGCGCCAAUGAAAAACCACUAUUUGUUACGUCAUUUUACUUACUCCGUAAAGAAGUGAUCGGUUUACCGAUUCUAGAACUAAGGGUAGUUUACUGCCUGAGCUUUGCGGAAGACACGGUCAGGUGGGGAGUUUGGCUGGGGGCG
This 434-nucleotide ribosomal RNA is filed under the name uncultured eukaryote. RNAcentral's name for it is "eukaryotic LSU rRNA". It matches the Rfam family "Eukaryotic large subunit ribosomal RNA", at positions 2193 to 2632 of the family's 3401-position model. The record is from RNAcentral.